Anguilla rostrata (American eel) is the source of this 1040-nucleotide long non-coding RNA. RefSeq lists it as uncharacterized. The record is from RefSeq and is a predicted model, not a curated record. The transcript has 2 exons. Lineage: Eukaryota; Metazoa; Chordata; Actinopteri; Anguilliformes; Anguillidae.
CCUGGCCUAAACAAUUACACAGUCUUAAUUUCUCCAUUGCAACUGACUUUAUAUAUUUAAAAAUACUAUUUGUCGCAUGGAAAUACAGCCCUUUAACUGACGUAAAGACAAGCCUCCUACAAGUGAUCAAUGGUAUACGGAGGUGUUAAUAUUCUCUAUCCGGAGAUAACUUAUGUGGCAAUAAGGGGCUAUGACAGCUAUUGGCAGACCAUGAAGAAAGGAUGAUUCUGCUGUUGUUAAUGUUGUUUUAAUUCCAACCCACACGACUGGACCUUUGCCUAACAGUUCCUAAAGAUGAUUUCACAGCACAGCAACACUAAAGCAAACCGCAAGAAAAUGUACUUUUUUUAUUUUCCAUAUUGCAGAGUCGCACAGCUGAGUUAUUACAUCUCAGAAAUUCCAUCAUGAAUCCAUUACUUUCCUUCAGUUCUACCCACAUGGUGGUUUUUUAUAUGAAGUUAUCUCUGUUCAGUGGAAAGGCCCCAUAUGUUUACACUUUUUAUUGCUUAAUGUAUUUGUAUAGGUGAUAUCUGAAUGCCCAAUGAUUAAUAUUCACCCAGCCUAUAAAUAAUUGUCAAUAAUAACGCUUGUAUCCACAAUUUUGUGGAUACUAGUGUUAUUAUUGACAAGGCGUAUUAUUAUUCAAAUGAAAAAUUAUGGGGCUUGUUGAAACCAAUCAUGAUCACAGAUGAAUUGGCGCUGUUAUUUUGUAGCUCUGAUUUAUCCUGAUUCUGUGCAUAGGAAGCAACGAAUACAGUAAUGAAAGCUUUGAAAAAAUGACUGAAUAUCAAAGACUGCCAUAUUUCUCUUACAAUGUCCGAAAUGACUCAAGCUUGCAAAAAUGUAUGCAGUGAAUUUAAACCUACAGCCAUACUUGCUCAGCUAUCACUAUUCAUUUUUUUUUCUAUCUUAGUAUUUCAAAAUGAUAUGGACAACUUGCUCAGCAAAAUUUUCAUGGCCAACUGAAUCAAGAUUUUACAGAGACAAUAUGGCACUGAUGACCUCACUGGGACGGCAAUAUAUUAUACUUUCCCAUAUAA